This 497-nucleotide ribosomal RNA is filed under the name uncultured bacterium. RNAcentral's name for it is "partial 16S ribosomal RNA". It matches the Rfam family "Bacterial small subunit ribosomal RNA", at positions 28 to 507 of the family's 1533-position model. The record is from RNAcentral.
GAUGAACGCUGGCGGCGUGCCUAAUACAUGCAAGUCGAGCGGACGGACGAGAAGCUUGCUUUUCUGAUGUUAGCGGCGGACGGGUGAGUAACACGUGGAUCACCUACCUAUCAGACUGGUAUCACUUCGGGAAACCGGAGCUAAUACCGGAUAAUAUUUUGCACCGCAUGGUUCAAAAGUGAAAGUCGGUCUUGCUGUCACUUAUAGCUGGAUACGAGCUGCAUUAGCUAGUUGGUAAGGUCACGGCUUACCAAGGCAACGAUGCAUAGCCGAGCUGAGAGGCGGAUCGGCCACAUGAGAACGGAGACACGGACCAUGCGCCUACGAGAGGCAGCAGUAGGGAAUCGUACGCAAUAGGCGAGAGCCUGACGGAGCAGCGGCGCGUGAGUGAUGAAAGUCCUCGGAGCGUAAAACUCGGUUAUUAGGGAAGAACAGAUGUGGAAGGAACUGUGCACAGCGUGACGGUACCGAAUCAGAAAGCCACGGCUAACUACGUG